CUGUGACCCUCUCCACCGCUGUUUUUUUUUUUCAUUCCUGUCGCCCCCUUCUCUUCCCCUUUCUACUCUACUUCUGUCUAGAUCUAGAGUUUCUCCAUGGAUUCUUGAAAUCUUGGACUUGAAUUCAAUGGGAAAGGAGGCCCAACCCUCCUUGUGCCAUCGGAGCGUUUGAUUUGCUUUAAAUCGUGCUGUCUUGUUAUCGGAAUUUUGUUUCCCCCGUUGUUUUGUUUUUCUGUUCUUCUUCGCAGGUUCGUCGGGGCGCAAGGGGGAGGCCGCCGGCUCCUGCAGCCGCGGCCAGGGCGGCCUGCGCGCGCUGCAGAGCCCAGGCGACGACGGCGUCCCUGUGUUGGACUCUGCUCACGGGACUCGAUCUGGCUUGAGCAGGUCGCGAUGGCAGCCAAGGCCAGAAGCAGGCAGCUACCGGCCUUGGCACCAGGCGCGGGGAUCCCAGCGACGUCCUAGGUGACCAGGCUUGGCAAGGCAACAGGCACGCAGGGCAGCAAGCUGCGUUCAGGAGCAAGCGCUGUCAAGCUUCCUGCCAACAAAGCCUGUGCACGUGCAUCAACAAAAUUGUUCUUUUUUUGGCCGGCUGCUAGCACAAGCUAAUUAGAUUUGUGACUUCGUGAUACUUGUAUUCGUGUAUGUUUGGCUCUUGAUUGUGUUGCAGGCAUGGCAGCAAAACCCAGCACCAGAAAGCUCGUCCCGGAUAGCAGCAUCAUCACUAUGCACACAAGAUGCUCGGUAAAAUGCCCCGGCUGAUUAAGAAACGAUACGCCGCGAACGAAGCCGUCUACGAGCUAGUUGCUGAGCCGGUCCAGGAGCCACCAACAGGAGAGCAGCAGAUCGAGGAAGCCGUUGAGCAAGCUCCGGAAGACGUUGUUAACCCCGCUGACUUGCAAGGCAAGCCUCGAAGCAUAACCCUUACUUUAAAUUUACAAAGUGUUAUUAAAUUA
This is a long non-coding RNA of Panicum virgatum (switchgrass), 953 nucleotides long. RefSeq lists it as uncharacterized. NCBI's taxonomy places the organism in Eukaryota, Viridiplantae, Streptophyta, Magnoliopsida, Poales, Poaceae. The record is from RefSeq and is a predicted model, not a curated record. The transcript has 2 exons.